Molecule: transfer RNA, 87 nt
Filed under: Geotrichum candidum
Lineage: Eukaryota; Fungi; Ascomycota; Dipodascomycetes; Dipodascales; Dipodascaceae
Rfam family: tRNA
About the family: Transfer RNA (tRNA) molecules are approximately 80 nucleotides in length.
Source: Rfam by way of RNAcentral
GGCCCGAUGGUUUAGUGGUAUAAUUCUCGCUUAGGGUUCUCUAAGCACGAUUGCGAGAGGUCCCGGGUUCAAUUCCCGGUUGGGCCC